Molecule: non-coding RNA, 205 nt
Organism: Ceratotherium simum simum (southern white rhinoceros)
Lineage: Eukaryota; Metazoa; Chordata; Mammalia; Perissodactyla; Rhinocerotidae
Source: RefSeq, a predicted model, not a curated record
AGAAAAGCAGACAGACAACGUGGAGGCUGUACCCAAGGAAGUAAGAAAAAGUUUUCUCUCCAGGAUUGUGCUUGGAAUAUGCUACAAAAAUGUCAGAGAUAAAGAAGAAAACCACUAGAGUUUCUCUGACCAUCAGUUCCCCAGUUAACGAAACCUCCAACAUCAGAUCAAGUUAUUCUACCUUAGUUCAACCAUUGUGUAUUGA